UAUACAAAAUGUACUAAUAUUAUUCUCACUUUACAUGGGGCUUGCAAAACUUAAGUUUAAAAACUUUGGCUUUAAUAGCUCAAAAAUUUUGAUGAUUGUGAGAGUGAAAACUUUGAUCUAGACUUUUUAGGCAAUCAGUGACUUGGCCUUAUUUCUGACAAAAGAAGAAGGAGAGGAUAAAAUUUGGGAGUGGUCUGAGGCAGUAUGUUCUUGGAGAAGAGGACAUUUGAGUGAUUCAUGCAUGUGAAAAGGAGGGACACAGAACUCUGGAGAGGUGUGUUCCUCCUGGUACUUAAAAUUAGACCUGAGAUCUAAUCCUAGCAUCAUUCAUUAGUACCUAGUC
This 343-nucleotide long non-coding RNA is filed under the name Bos taurus (domestic cattle). Its description in RNAcentral is "long non-coding RNA NONBTAT017822". Lineage: Eukaryota; Metazoa; Chordata; Mammalia; Artiodactyla; Bovidae. The record is from RNAcentral.